This 1005-nucleotide long non-coding RNA is filed under the name Physcomitrium patens. RNAcentral's name for it is "long non-coding RNA (PPAT_LNC003955)". The record is from RNAcentral. Lineage: Eukaryota; Viridiplantae; Streptophyta; Bryopsida; Funariales; Funariaceae.
UUAUUCAGAAAGAAACCUCCCAGCAUAAACCUGUAUAGGGAGAUUCGAACACGGGGAAUGAUUAGUUACUUAAGCGUUCACGUUAGGGUCAUACAAUCAAUUACCUCCUGAAUGUAUCGUCUCUAUUUUCAAUAUUUGAACACACAAGGAAACUAUAAUCUCUUCCUUCACCUUAUCGGUCUCUUUCUUACAACAAUUCGAUCAUACCAAUAACUGCUAUUUCCACCAAUAUAUUCACCCUCAUAAUCUCCAACUGUAAUAUUUGCGCCCUCACAGCUUUCAUCACAUAAUUACCCUCGUUCCAAUCACUGGAAUUCUUCACACAGAAUUGCCAUUCACAUUACAGUGUUUCACUCAAACACACACUCAUUCUCUCUACUGAACUACAAUCAGAUUUCAGCAUUCAAUCUUUCUUCUUCUCAAAUAAUACCAAUCACAUUUCCAUUCCAUAAUUCACUUCACAAUAUUUAGAAACUUUCAAUCCUCUUAUUCAAAAAAAAUAACAAACAAAAGAAAAGAGGUAGCACCAAGCUUACCCCGGCUCACAACUCUCAUAGUCUGGCAUUUUCUUCCCCUCUUCCAUCUUCCUUAUACUACCCCGAGAUACCAACUCCUAUACUACAUAUGAUAACUACUUUUCCUGACUAUUCAUCUAUUCUACCUGCUGAACCAUCUUUUUAGUAGUUAUCUAUCCCUGUUUAUACUAUACACUAGGUAUCUACAUUCUAAAAAUAACUACUUAUUCUACAGGUCCUCAAGAUUCUUUGAUAAAUUGGAUGGAAUGUAUCCAAGCCAUUCUUAUCAAGAGUCAGCAAAAGGAAAAAGGACCAAUUCAACAUUUGGGUGAGCUUGAUAUGAUGGACCAAUUUGAUCUAAUUAUGGAGACAUCCAAUCUAAGUCUUGUUAUGGGCCUCUUAUCCAAUAUGAGACCUGACUCGAUUAAGCAACCGAAUGAGGUCUUGAUUACGGAGGCUUCGUUUUUGUUCCAAGAAGUUUCAUUCUUUA